Molecule: long non-coding RNA, 514 nt
Organism: Callorhinchus milii (elephant shark)
Lineage: Eukaryota; Metazoa; Chordata; Chondrichthyes; Chimaeriformes; Callorhinchidae
Exons: 3
Source: RefSeq, a predicted model, not a curated record
CUGCAGGACAGCGUGUUGGCGUUCUGGAAACACGGGAUGCAAGGAAAGAGUCUGCUCACUAACGAGGUAACGCAGGAAAUUACGGAUGAAUCCAGAAUUUUCCGGGUUCUGGGGACUCACAGGGAUAUCAUCUUGGAAAGCCGACCGAUAGACAACCCAACGGCUCACAGCAACAUCUACCUCCUAACCGGCCAUCAGAGCAGCUACUGAGACCCCGAUUUACCCCCUUCUCCCCUUCCCUGAGACCGACCCCCCCCACCCCACCUUUCCCCCUUUGCCGCUCUCCACUCCCCCAAGACCUCGUUCCCCCCACCCUCUCCCUUACUCGGUUUCCCCUUUCGUCCCUCUCCCAAGACCCCCUGACCCGCUUCCCCCUCGCCCUAUCUCAUCGCCUUCCCCCCACUCCUCCCUGUUUCUCCCGAGCCCCCCCCCCACCCUUUUGUACAGACCCACGAAGCUUUACGCAUUAUUUAAUGACCUGUAUUUAGUCUCUUAAAGUAAAAAAAAAGUUUUA